AUGCGGCCCUGCUCCCGCGUGCUCGCCGCGAGGCACCUCCUGCGGGGCUCCCGCUUCCAGCUCCCCGCGGCGCUCCGGCGGCCCGGCGGGACCAACGGCCCGCCCGCGCCGACGCCUCACCUCGGGGGCUUCGGACCAGGCUGCAGGGUCUCUCCGGGGACGGGGGGACGCGCCCCCUUGGGCCCCCUCCACUGCCUGCUCCCGGGCUCGGCCUUCCCGCCGCGGUGGUGCGCGUGGCCUCUCUGCGACCUGAGAGGGAAUGCAUUCUCCACUUCUGCCAGUGCUGUGACAGCUGGGAAACCGGCUGAUGACAACGAGCAUAAAGAUGCCCCGAAGAAGGACAUCGAUGAUCAGAUAGCAGAUAUUCAGAUCCUUCAUAACCUUUGGAAGUACUUGAGGCUGAACAAUAGCCGCGAUUUCAACAUCAGGAUUGUGUUGUCCUUGGGUCUCUUAGUCGGCGCAAAGGUCAUAAAUGUUCAAGUGCCUUUCUUGUUUAAGCUUGCUAUCGAUUGGCUUGCAGCACUUGGCGGCGCUGAAGCCUCACUGGCAGGAUUUACAGAUGCUAAUGCAACCCUGUUGGCUCUCUUUGCAAGCCCAGCAGCAGUUCUGAUUGGAUAUGGUAUUGCACGGUCAGGAGUAUCAGCUUGUACAGAACUGCGGAAUGCUUUAUUUUCGAAAGUUACCUGGAGAGCCAUCCGUUCACUCUCCAGGAUGGUGUUUUCUCACUUGCAUGAGCUUGAUCUUCGUUAUCAUCUAAGCCGGCAAACUGGAGCUCUAAAUCGCAUAAUUGACAGAGGGAGCAACGCAAUAAAUUUCAUUCUUACGGUGACAGUGUUCAAUAUUGUUCCCACAAUACUAGAGAUUGGUAUGGUGUCAAGUAUACUUGCCUACAAGUUCGGCUCCACUUUUGCUUGGAUUACUUCAGUUUCAGUUGCUACUUAUAUUGUUUUCACUUUGGCUUUGACACAGUGGCGGACCAAGUUCAGGACAGCCAUGAAUAAAGCUGAUAAUGCUUCUGGUGCGGUGGCAGUUGACUCCCUUCUGAAUUACGAGACUGUCAAAUACUUCAACAAUGAGCAAUUUGAAGUUCAGAAGUAUGACAAAUAUUUAAAGAGAUACGAGGAUUCUGCACUGAAAGCCCAAAGUAGCCUUGCCUACUUGAACUUUGGGCAAAAUGUUAUAUUUAGUGUGUCAUUAUCCACAGCAAUGGUUUUGAGCUCAUAUGGUGUAAUGAGUGGUGCUCUGACUGUCGGUGAUUUGGUAAUGGUUAAUGGACUUCUAUUCCAGCUCUCAGUGCCUCUGAACUUCCUUGGUAGUGUUUAUCGAGAAUCUAGACAAAGCCUUAUUGACAUGAAGUCCAUGUUUCAAUUGCUUGAGGAAAAACCUGGAAUAAAGGAUGAGCUUCAUGCACAACCUUUGCAGUUCAAGGGAGGAUGCAUUGAAUUCGAGAAUGUCCAUUUCGGGUAUGCCCCAGAAAGGACGAUUCUUAAUGGGGCCACUUUCACUGUACCAGCAGGAAAAAGUGUGGCAAUUGUUGGAACUAGUGGCAGCGGAAAGUCAACCAUACUUAAACUUCUCUUUAGAUUUUUUGAUUCAACUUCAGGAUCUAUACGAAUAGACGGGCAAGAUAUCCGGGGAGUCACACUGGACAGUCUUCGGAAGUCGCUUGGUGUUGUGCCACAGGAUACGGUACUUUUCAAUGACACAAUUAAGCAUAAUAUACAAUAUGGGCGGUUAUCAGCAAAUGAUGAAGAGGUUUACGAUGCUGCUCGACGUGCCUCUAUCCAUGAUACAAUUAUGAACUUUCCUGACAAGUAUGACACGGUUGUGGGAGAGCGUGGAUUGAAGUUAAGUGGUGGUGAGAAACAACGAGUCUCAAUUGCUCGUGUAUUCUUGAAGGAGCCCUCCAUUCUGUUAUGUGAUGAAGCUACAAGCGCACUGGAUAGCACUACUGAAUCGUCGAUUCUGAAUUCUCUAAUGUCUUUAUCCGUCGAUCGAACCUCGGUAUUUAUUGCUCAUCGACUCACAACUGCAAUGCUAUGUGAUGAGAUCAUCGUCUUGGAGAAUGGAACAGUAGUGGAACAAGGGCCACAUGAUCUUCUUCUGUCGAAGCACGGGCGUUAUGCCGAACUUUGGUCCCAGCAGAAUACCACUGAAGGCAGUUGA
This 2166-nucleotide ribosomal RNA is filed under the name Triticum aestivum (bread wheat). RNAcentral describes it as "partial small subunit ribosomal RNA". Lineage: Eukaryota; Viridiplantae; Streptophyta; Magnoliopsida; Poales; Poaceae. The record is from RNAcentral.